GCGCGAAAACUUUACAAUGCUGCAACAGCGAUAAGGGAACCUCGAGUGCCAGGUUACAAAUCUGGCUGUCGUUGUGUCUAAAAAACACGAUAUAGCAAGGGCCGGGCAAGACCGGUGCCAGCCGCCGCGGUAACACCGGCGGCUCGAGUGGUAACCGUUAUUAUUGGGUCUAAAGGGUCUGUAGCCGGCCGGAUAAGUCUCUUGAGAAAUCUGGCAGCUUAACUGUCAGGCUUUCAGGAGAUACUGUCUGGCUCGAGGCCGGGAGAGGUGAGAGGUACUUCAGGGGUAGGGGUGAAAUCUUGUAAUCCUUGAAGGACCACCAGUGGCGAAGGCGUCUCACCAGAACGGACCUGACGGCAAGGGACGAAAGCUAGGGGCACGAACCG
This 386-nucleotide ribosomal RNA is filed under the name uncultured bacterium. RNAcentral describes it as "bacterial SSU rRNA". It matches the Rfam family "Archaeal small subunit ribosomal RNA", at positions 339 to 726 of the family's 1478-position model. The record is from RNAcentral.